UUUGUAGAUUACAAUUUUAAUGGUUUGGCAUUAUAUUAAGUAGUGUGGAAAUAUAGUUAGAAAUGUCCAUGGAUAACAUUAGCAGUGGAGAGGAAGGAGAGGAGGAAGACUGGAUAGGAAGAAGAGUGAAGGAGACAGAUGAGGAAAGGCAGCCGGUGAAGAAUGGCAGUGGUAGAACAUCAGCAGACGAAAAAGCAUAAAGCCUCUGAUUGCCCCGUGUUGACAAAUGCCCUGUUGUCCUGCAAACAAUGUUUGAAGAUCCACUGACUGAACUUUGGCUGGCAUUUGACCAUGGAAACGCGACUGUAUUCAGUGACACGAUCAAGAUGCUUGAAGGCCAGGACCACUGUGCUGUGGACUACGCUGCAAUUCUGAGAAACGUUGAGGCAAAAUUGACUGCAAGACGUGAUGACAACUUCAUCCCAGUGGUCAGAGGACUUCUGAGAGAGCUGGAGGAAAAUGGAGCAAUGUCUAAAGAGAGCUUUCUCAAAAUAUCCCAAUCAUUCUUCACUAUGGCUGUGAACUACUUGCAAGCAUGGGGAAAG
Molecule: long non-coding RNA, 545 nt
Organism: Oncorhynchus tshawytscha (Chinook salmon)
Lineage: Eukaryota; Metazoa; Chordata; Actinopteri; Salmoniformes; Salmonidae
Source: Ensembl